Molecule: RNA transcript, 2022 nt
Organism: Lotus japonicus
Lineage: Eukaryota; Viridiplantae; Streptophyta; Magnoliopsida; Fabales; Fabaceae
Gene name: serine/arginine-rich splicing factor SC35
Exons: 9
Source: RefSeq, a predicted model, not a curated record
AAGAUUCAAGAAGGUUCUGCAGCCACAAACCCUAAUCACACUCUCUCUAUCUCUUUUUAUCUUCUCUCAUUCUCCAUUCUCACACUCCCUCUCUCUGCAAUCCGCAACCAUGUCUCACUUCGGAAGGUCCGGUCCCCCUGACAUCACCGACACCUACUCCCUCCUCGUUCUCAACAUCACCUUCCGCACAACUGCUGAUGACUUGUUCCCUCUCUUCGAUAAGUAUGGGAAAGUUGUCGACAUCUUCAUCCCCAAAGAUCGAAGGACUGGGGAGUCGAGGGGUUUCGCGUUUGUGCGUUACAAGUAUGCUGAUGAGGCUUCAAAGGCUGUUGAUAGGCUUGAUGGAAGAAUGGUUGAUGGUCGUGAAAUAACUGUUCAGUUUGCUAAGUAUGGGCCUAAUGCUGAGAGGAUUCACAAAGGUAGAAUUAUUGAAUCAGAGGAAAGAGCUAAGCAGGGGUCAAGGAGCCGUAGCCCCAGGAGAAGGCAUCGUGAUGAUCACAGAUCCAGCAGAGACAGGGAUUACAGGAGGAGAAGCCGCAGCAGAAGUUAUGAUAAGUAUGAACGUGGUGAUAGGCACCGUGGGAGAGACAGGGAUUAUCGUCGCCGAAGCAGGAGCCGCAGUGCCAGUCUGGAUUACAAAGGUCGUGGAAGGGGGCGUUAUGAUGAUGAGCCUAGUAGAAGCCGGAGCAGAUCAGUGGAUAGCCGCUCCCCUGCACGCCGCAGUCCUAGUCCUCGAAGAAGUCCUUCCCCUAAGAGGAGUGUUUCCCCUAAAAGGAGCACUUCUCCCCGGAAAAGUCCACGGGGUGAAAGUCCUGAUAAUCGUAGCCGUGAUGGACGGUCUCCUACACCUCGCAGUGUCUCACCACGUGGCCGCCCUGUUGCUUCGCGAAGCCCAUCCCCUCGAAAGUCAAAUGGUGAUGAAUAAACUGUUUUUAAUGAAAAAUUCCAGAGACGCCUUGACUAGUGUACCUGUUGCUGUUUUGCUAGUAUUGGAUCAUUUGGUCAAUGUGAAUGGUCUUAUCAGUCAUUGGACGGUUUUAUGAUCUAAGUGCAGUUUGUUAUGAUCGGGAAAUGUGGUGGGGCCUGAUAGGCGCAUGUUGACAUUGUUGCUGUUGAUGCUGUUUCUAUGUCAUUGAUGAUUGGUCGUGAAUUUGAUGCCUGGUUGCAAGAGUAUGCUGGUUUUAGGACUGAUUCUUUUACCAGUGUGCUGCUUAGAAAGGCAAUUAAUUGACUUGGUUUUUUCCUGAUUGAUCUGAUUUUUGGUAAGCUUUUUUGUUUACUUUCUUAUUUCUUCAUAAAUCCCUCAUGACCUCUGGGAAUGCUGAUCUUUUGAUCUAGUAACCGUGAUUGGUAUAAAAAUAGUCCUGAAAGAGAUUUGUGAUGCUGAGAUGGACAAGUUGAACGUAUUUUGACGUGUAGCUGAUGCAUCAUAGGAGUGGGACCUGUCAUAUGUUGAAUCAGAUGGUGAUAAUAUGAACCUAAAUUGCUGGUGUUAUUUUGAAUCUCCGUGAAAGUGACAAUGGUAAAACUUUUCUAGUUACUUUUUUAGGGAUUAUACUGGAUACUUGUUUGACAUUGAUCUUUCAAGAUUAUAACAUCUGCUACUUAAUGUAGUGAGAUAUGUUUGUUGUAGCACAGUGCUCCUUGACUGUAGCUGUGAGGUGAUAGCUGGUCCAUCUUUUAUAUGAAAUACGUGUGUUCGUGAAUAGUUCGAAGAAUUAGCAAAUUACUGUAGCUGACUGUUGCUGCCCUUUUUGCUGGGUCGGGUUGGCAAUGGUAUUAGCAGCUGGUACUGAUGAUGCUGUCUAGCUGUGCUGAUUUUCUGUUGAUUUCAAAGCCGCCUGACAAUUCUUUUCACUAUUUAAGCUCGUGAUUGUUUUUUUAGUUUCAGUUUUAGGCUUUUAGCUAUUCACACAUUUAUUCUUAUGACAAGAUUUAUAUAUUUUUGCUUCAACAUUGUGACACGAUUUGUGGUGUGGUUACUGUUAUGCAACUUAAUUAAUAACCUAUGUGCAUUAGAGA